GAUGAACGCUGGCGGCGUGCCUAAUACAUGCAAGUCGAGCGAACAGACGAGGAGCUUGCUCCUCUGACGUUAGCGGCGGACGGGUGAGUAACACGUGGAUAACCUACCUAUAAGACUGGGAUAACUUCGGGAAACCGGAGCUCAUACCGGAUAACAUGUUGAACCGCAUGGUUCAACAGUGAAAGACGGUCUUGCUGUCACAUAUAGAUGGAUCCGCGCCGCAUUAGCUAGUUGGUAAGGUAACGGCUUACCAAGGCAACGAUGCGUAGCCGACCUGAGAGAGUGAUCGGCCACACUGGAACUGAGACACGGUCCAGACUCCUACGGGAGGCAGCAGUAGGGAAUCUUCCGCAAUGGGCGAAAGCCUGACGGAGCAACGCCGCGUGAGUGAAGAAGGUCUUCGGAUCGUAAAACUCUGUUAUUAGGGAAGAACAAAUGUGUAAGUAACUAUGCACGUCUUGACGGUACCUAAUCAGAAAGCCACGGCUAACUACGUG
Molecule: ribosomal RNA, 497 nt
Filed under: uncultured bacterium
Lineage: Bacteria
Description: partial 16S ribosomal RNA
Rfam family: Bacterial small subunit ribosomal RNA
Source: RNAcentral